Molecule: ribosomal RNA, 407 nt
Filed under: uncultured bacterium
Lineage: Bacteria
Description: bacterial SSU rRNA
Rfam family: Bacterial small subunit ribosomal RNA
Source: RNAcentral
AUUGAACGCUGGCGGCAUGCCUUACACAUGCAAGUCGAACGGCAGCACGGGAGCUUGCUCCUGGUGGCGAGUGGCGAACGGGUGAGUAAUGCAUCGGAACGUGCCCUGAAGUGGGGGAUAACGUAGCGAAAGUUACGCUAAUACCGCAUAUUCUGUGAGCAGGAAAGCAGGGGAUCUUCGGACCUUGCGCUUUUGGAGCGGCCGAUGUCGGAUUAGCUAGUUGGUGGGGUAAAGGCCCACCAAGGCGACGAUCCGUAGCGGGUCUGAGAGGAUGAUCCGCCACACUGGAACUGAGACACGGUCCAGACUCCUACGGGAGGCAGCAGUGGGGAAUUUUGGACAAUGGGCGCAAGCCUGAUCCAGCCAUGCCGCGUGAGUGAAGAAGGCCCUUCGGGUUGUAAAGGCUC